UACAGGGGGUGCAAACGUUGCUCGGAAUCAUUGGGCGUAAAGCGCACGUAGGCGGUUCGUUAUGUCGGAUGUGAAAGCCCUUGGCUUAACCGAGGAAGUGCAUCCGAAACUGGCGAGCUAGAGUACGAAAGAGGAUCGCGGAAUUCCCGGUGUAGAGGUGAAAUUCGUAGAUAUUGGGAGGAACACCGGUGGCGAAGGCGGCCAUUUGGGCUGUAACUGACGCUGAGGCGCGAAAGCGUGGGUAGCAAACAGG
Molecule: ribosomal RNA, 253 nt
Filed under: uncultured bacterium
Lineage: Bacteria
Description: partial 16S ribosomal RNA
Rfam family: Bacterial small subunit ribosomal RNA
Source: RNAcentral